This is a long non-coding RNA of Microcebus murinus (gray mouse lemur), 4428 nucleotides long. RefSeq lists it as uncharacterized. The record is from RefSeq and is a predicted model, not a curated record. Lineage: Eukaryota; Metazoa; Chordata; Mammalia; Primates; Cheirogaleidae.
GGGAAACGCCGAGGUGGUUGCGAAGUCGUCGCUCCGUCCCCCAAGCUGAGAAUAACAGGCCUAGGCGACUCACAGUCACCGCGGCUCCCACUGUCGCCUCCGUUCCCGCCACGGAACAGCUAGCGCAGAGCAGGGCGGGAAGACGCACGUAUGGCGUCAUUUCCGGCUCCGUCGCGAGCAGCCCCAGGAGGGGGUAGUUUGCUCGCCGCGGGUGGCGGUUAUUUAGACCUGCGGUGAGACCUACGGACUUUCUGGGAGGAAUGGACUGUAACAGGCAUGACCAAGGAGGUGUAAAUAACGUUUCACCCUGUCCCCGUGCGUUGCUGCCCUCGGGACCUGAGCUGCGGCCGGGCGGGCGCGCUCAGCGACGUGGGCAGGGGCGCCGCGCCGGUCUCGGGAUCCGGCGGUCCACCUAGGUCACAAAGAGCCCCGCUCUCUUUAGGUACCGGCCUGCGGAACCCGACCUCGCUGUGAGCUCCAUUUGCAGUCAUCGGGUGUCUCACCGGCAUCUGAGCGGCGACAUAAUUCGGCUUGCAACCGGCUUCUCUCCAAAGGACCGGGAUUGGCAAGGGUGGGGCCUAUCUUCCGCCAGAAGAGGGCAGCCUGCGGAUCCCUGUCUUUUGCGUCCUGCUGUGUAGCAGAGCAGUACGCCUGUGCUUUAACAGCCGAGACAUCUGAAGAAGAUGCCUUUCCUUGCCCUCUUGAGGCCACAUUGCUUACACCUCCAGUAGUGUCUACCCGUUGUGGAGAGGCAGGAACAUGCAAUCAUGGACAUCCUUUAAUUCCGGAGCUCUGCUUAGAAAUCUGAUGCUAUUUAAGGUGUUCACACCAAGACUCCUCGAUGAGACCAUUAAGACUUCGGAGCCAGUGGUGACCCGGCCGGGCGCCACUGCACAGCCCCUCACUGGCGCCCUGGGCGGAGGUCCCUCUGCGGUCCGCCUUCCUGCGCCGCUUCGCACUCUGCGCUUAUCGCCUUUUUUUCCCCUUUCCCUCCCAACUCCCCUACUCCCACCCCAGGCCACUUCCCUAGCCUAGGAUCUAAGAGCUAGAGAUGUUUUCAAGCGGGUAACUUUGAAGUCCACACCCGCGCCUGGGGAGCUUUGGAGGGGAGCAGGGCACACUGGGACUAGGCGGUGGUAGCUCCAAGCUCUGGGGCAGACUCGGCUCUCUCCAUUGCACCGGCUCAGAAUCCCGGCAGGGAGCGCCCCCCGCCCCCCGCCCGCAUCCCUCUCUCCUCCCUGCAGAACCCUGGAGGGGAGCGGACGGAUGGUCUCCACAGGAUCCCCCAGGUUCGCGAGCGCCCUCGCCCGGUCCCGUCCUGCCAGGCUCUCGAGUUCCUAUCUUCAUGAAUUUUCCUGGUGCACCUUUCGCGUGCGUUAUUAUCCAUCUCUGCAUAGAACUCAUUGUAUUUAUUUUGGCACAUUGACUGGGAACAGCCCACAGUCUCUGAAGCUUAUGUCUUUCCCAAAAUACUGAGCAAAAUCAAUGAGGAAGUUAAAUCAUUCUAUUCAUUUUCAAAAACUGUACGCCAACUUAAAAUGUUGGUGUAACCAAGAUGAAGAUUUGUUAAGUCCUCUCUUUUUUUUAUCCGCUGGCAUAUGUAAGCAUGCGUUUCCUCUGUUUUGAUUUCUAAGGGCAUUCCAUUGGUGUUUAUGACGAUUUCCAUUUUGUCUAGGAUGAAGACAUUGGCAGCCAAAUCCUCCUGAAAAAUUAGUGAUAGCAGUAAUAGCUAGUGCUACUCUGAGGCUAUUUGUUACUGUUAUUACUACUAACAAUAGCACUAGCAGGUUCUAUUAAUAUUUACUAAGGCUCUAUGGCAUGCCAGACACUGUUCUUCAUGUGUUCAUCCUCCUACUAACUCUUCAAAAUAGAUAUAAUUGUCUUCACUUUAGAAAUAAAACACUGAUGCUUGUGACCCUUCAUGAGCAAAUCUUGAGUGCAUCUAGGGCCUGGUGAGGAAUAAUCACUGAAUGGCUGGCUGGCCCUCCUGCAGCUAUUUCCUUUCCUGCAAAAUGAGAAUUUUUUGACUGAUGGAUGUUUUCUAAGCUUUUGCUUGGUUGUAAGAAUUCUUCUGCUAGAAGCUGUGGGUUUACAGAGGUAAAAAAGAUAUUGUCUCUUCUGCCAAGUAGCCGGGGGUCCAAGGUAAAAGACAUAAGGGCACACAUAGAGUGGGAUGUGGCUUAUUUAUUUAUGUUAGGAGGAGAUGCUAAAAGGGAAAUCAUGGCAGGUAUGUGUGUGACCUUCCUCCACCUCCCACAAAACACUGUCCUCCACUCUGUCCUCACCUUCCUUCUCUGUUCUUCCCCUUGUCCUUAACCAUUUCCCUUCUGCAUCUCCUUUUUUUUUUCUCCUUCUGCACUAAAAUGGUGCUUUUAAAACUGUGGGUUAUAAGACAUUAGUAGGUCAUAAAAUCAAUCCAGGGGAUCUGGACCAGUAUUUUAAAAAAUGAAAUAAUAGAAUCAAACUAUUAAAAGGCAUCACUCAUACUCAGGAUAAUAUUGUUGUGUAAAACUCGUUGUAUAUGUAUGUUUGCAUGUGUGUGGCAAACGCAAGAAGACAAUGAUUGCUUUCUUGGGAGGAGCAGGGAGUAGGGCUAGCUAUGAACACCACCUGGACAUUUCUUCUCUGUCACAGCUACAGCGUUUCAGGGCUGGAAAGGUAACCUGGAGAUCACAGACCCCCAGGGCCCAGAUGGAGGCCCUGGGGCAGCAGGAGUUGGAGAUGGGGAGGCCGUGCCAGAGACAGGCACCUGCCACCAAGGCUGAGGAGGAAGAGUCACCUGGCACCCUGAGGUCAGGGGCAGAGGGACCGUCCUCCCACCCCACAGCGGCCCCAGUCCUUCCCUUUCUCUCCCCAAGGAUGCUCCAGCAGGGAGUUUAUCUCCACGGAAGCCUUUGAAGAGUGUGAAGGUGCAGAAGACACGGAAAAGGAGAACAGCGCUCUCAGCCUCGCCGGGCUCUUCCAGUCGGACGACAGCUCUGAAUCCCGUCUCUCCAAAUCGGUUUUCCUGGAGACGGGAGAAAGCACCCAGGGAGGAGACGCACGCGAUGCGGAGGAAACGGCCAGCGCCGAGGAGCGCGUCGGGGUGCGCACUGGCGAGCUCGCUCCCGCGGGGGAGACGACCCGACCCGGCGCAGAGACGGCGCAGGCGCGGGCGGGAGGCCCGAGGACGCCCUCCCCGCAGAACUGAGCCUCCCGCGGGCAGCCGUCGCUCCUGCGCUCGGCCCGGCGCCCGCGCCGUCUGCGUUGCAGGGAGAAGCUGCAGAGGGGCCGAGGGCCCGGCCGCCUGAAGCAGAGGGCAGCCGAGGGGCCUCGGCGGCUACGCACAUGCCGCCCUGGGAGGGGACGCCCACGGCCGCCUGCGGGGAGCCGGAGCAGAGCUCGGGGAGCCCGCUCCUCCCCGGCCGCCGCGGGAACCUCGGCGCUCCCUAACGCGCCUGCGCCAGACGCCCGCGGGGUCCAAUCAAUACCCGGCGCGCCUGGCUUUGGAGUUACUUAGUUUUAAAGUAGGUGUUGGAAUUGUUUAGAGUGGUUUGAUCUUAAGUUUUCACUCUACAUGGGAUCUGGCGGAGUCUUCAAGUCCCCUGAUUUGUUUCUGGAAUGGAGUGGGCCAACAAACACCUGAAAGACUGAUGAUGAUGCCACACAAAGAUCAAGAAGAUAUGAAAAGAUUUAUUACUCACAGAGUGAGGCUUUCUGGGGAGAGCAGGGGCAGGCACCCAAGCUGGUCAGAAAUGGCUUGGAGAGGGAUGGAGGAGAGUGGAGACCAGCCAGCCGUGAAGUGCCAGUGACUUCAGCUGCAAAGCAGGCAGAGAAGAGCAGAGGAGCCUGGAGUAGGGAUUGUUUGUGGAAAUUUGCCAGAUGAGGAAAGAAUACAAGUUCCCCACCACUGGCUUUUAAUGUUUUACAGAACUGAUGCAGGUUUCUUUUGAAUUUAGAGAAAAUAUAGAUCAAAACAAAAAGCUGAAAGAAAUAGGAACCACAAAGAGUAUUCUUAAGUAGCUCCUUUUGCAUAGAUGGUCAUGAGUCUUAAGACCAGUUUGAAAUGUUUUAAGCUGUCUUAGUACCCUUUGGCUAAAAGUGCCCAACUAAUGGGAAGUACUGUGCAUGCUUAACCUGUGUUGUAUAUAAAUAUAUAAUGAUGGACAGAGAGAGAGAGCUCUGUAUCACUUGCCAGAAAGAAAUUUAAGGCUCUACACACAGGCCAUGCAGAUCUUACUCUCCAUAGAACUCCUGCCAUCCCCCAGGAGUAAGUGCUUAGAGGAUUUAACCUUGACUAGGAAUGAGAGCCACGUGUAAGUAACCUCUAAUAAACUCAUCUAACUUGCCAAACUGGAUUGGUAUGAGUAGUUUCUUUGGUUUCUUGGCAUCAUCUCAGUUUGGAGGGCAGAUUUUCUAUACCAUCCUGAGAUUUUCCCAAAUAGCAGA